RNAcentral lists this long non-coding RNA (1022 nucleotides) under Ornithorhynchus anatinus (platypus). Its description in RNAcentral is "lncRNA (ENSOANG00000050576.1)". Lineage: Eukaryota; Metazoa; Chordata; Mammalia; Monotremata; Ornithorhynchidae. The record is from RNAcentral.
GGUCUUGUUUAAGGAUCAAUAUAUGUAGAAUCUAUAUAACACUGGAGCUUUUAAAUUUUCAUCAGAAAUGUUUUCUUUCUUAGUGAAACUUAUUGGUGGAGGAAAUAAACUGAUACUACUCCACAUUGAGAAGCCAUUGCCCAAGUGACAAUUCUACCUUGCCAAAGGCCCUGCUUUUCCUUUCUGGUUUUUGAAAGGUGGAGGAAAAGGCAAGAUUGCCUUGGGUUAGCUUGCCCAGUUUCCCUGAGAUCUGGACAGCCCAUUGUCUGCAAGCAAUUCUUCUUUCUUAAUGAUAGUUUCUAGGGACUCUGAUGAAAAUUUGAAUCAAGUGUAGGUGACCUUUACUUUUUUUUUUUAUCCACUACAGAAGCCAUUGCCUUGGCAAUGGAUCCAUCUGUUCCUCUGGGGAAAGGAUAUCCUGGGCAUAAUUCCCAACUCCAGUGACAGUGCCAUCGGGACUGGCGCUGCUCAGAAGCAAGGUCAGGGCAUCCUCUUACCUGUGGCCACCAACACCCCCAGCAUCAUCCUGUUCAUCUCUACGGUCACAAAUAAUAAGAUCCUGGAAUGCAGUGAGACCCCAGCAUCGAAGCAAUGCUGCCACAUCCCACCUUCACUGCGAGGAAUGGGUGAGAAGUACAGAUGACAGCACCUUAUCCAAACAACUAUUCUAUGGUGAGCUGAAAUGGGGAAAUCAUGAUGGGUUGGCCCGAAGAACUGCAGUUAAGAUGCAGUUAAACCUCAAAAGAUGUGGUAGAGUGGUGAAAAGCUGGGAGACAGUGGUGAACAGCACUGGGUGGUGAACAGCAGGAACAGUUCAGCAUGACCUGCAGCAAUCAGAAAUGGGAUGACUGCUUUGGAACAGAGCCUCUGGGAAGAUCACAACCCAGAGGGUGAGCAAUGAAAAUGGUGUAGGGCCUUGUAGUUAACAGACACAAUAAUUCAGCAAGGGGCCAUCUUUCUAGCCACAAGACUUGGAAUGGAUUAUCAACUGUGCAUUGAGAGACAGGUGCAUAGCUAUAAUG